GCCUCAAAGAGUCUCUUGUCAAU
RNAcentral lists this non-coding RNA (23 nucleotides) under Arabidopsis thaliana (thale cress). The record is from RNAcentral. Lineage: Eukaryota; Viridiplantae; Streptophyta; Magnoliopsida; Brassicales; Brassicaceae.